GCCAUUCUACCUCAUGCUGCACAGGCUGUAUGCAGAUGUCAGGAUUCAGAUCAUACUGUCUCUAUUCUUGCUGAUGUAUUCUGCAUCACUCAUUAAUGAUGUAGGAAGCAGGAAGUCCCUCUGAAGCUCCAGCGUCAAAACAGUGUAACGAAACAAAACAGUGUCAGAAAUUGCGUGACUCCUUUUCACUUCAUUAUUUGCCUGCUAUUUUGAUGGUAUUAGAACACUGUGUUGGAUACAGAUGCUUUUAGAUUAGACACCGUAAUAUAAAGCGCACUAUCAAUAAAAGUCUAUUUUCUGGAUAUUUCUCAUACAUAGGGGGCACCAGAUUAUAAGGCGCAGUAUGCAACUCUAGUACACUAGUAGGUCACUAAGUUAAGUAAAGCUAAGCUAAGUAAAGAAAACUGUAAUUCUUAAAAAAAAAACAUUUUCUUUUGAAGUCAAACGAGUUCUGGAUUCUAAUCUACACAGAUUUCUCUCCUGAAAACUUUAUUUGGAUAAGGUAUCUGGAAAAACACUUGCAUCAAAGCAGCCUCCAGAAUCUCUCUACUCCAACCUCCUACAGAGCCUGUGGUCUGAGCACUGUAACACCAUACAGACCCAUCACGCCUCUCAGAGGUAGAGUACAACACAUCCUCUCUGGGGGGGGAAGUGUCCUUCUCACUCCAGCUGCUACAACCUGCAGUUAAAGAGACUAGUCUGGAGACUAUGCAGCAAGAGUUCUUCUUGGGCCAUUUUCAGUCACCAUAUGAGUAUUUCUCCUGUUCUACAGCCGAGAGCGCCCGGGGCAACAGCACUGCAACCACAAGCAAUGUCAGAGAUGAGUUACAGGUAAUGUCUGAGCAGCUAUUCCACAGGCUGUUUUCACCCAGUCACGAAUGUCCCGCUUGCCCUCUUCACCACUACAAAACUGUCUCUUUGCAUGCCAACAAAAAUGUUUGGACAGUUGCAACAGCUUUUUUUGUACAACAUCUUAUUUGAUUUAAAAUGAACCAAUCAAUUCCAGAGUCAAUUGAAAUAAUUUCAAUUCCUUUUCAAAAAUUAAAGCUAUUUUAC
RNAcentral lists this long non-coding RNA (1056 nucleotides) under Astyanax mexicanus (Mexican tetra). Its description in RNAcentral is "lncRNA (ENSAMXG00005009861.1)". Lineage: Eukaryota; Metazoa; Chordata; Actinopteri; Characiformes; Acestrorhamphidae. The record is from RNAcentral.